RNAcentral lists this ribosomal RNA (345 nucleotides) under uncultured Methanolinea sp. Its description in RNAcentral is "bacterial SSU rRNA". It matches the Rfam family "Archaeal small subunit ribosomal RNA", at positions 994 to 1338 of the family's 1478-position model. The record is from RNAcentral. Lineage: Archaea; Methanobacteriati; Methanobacteriota; Methanomicrobia; Methanomicrobiales; Methanoregulaceae.
AUGGCCGUCGUCAGUUCGUACUGUGAAGCAUCCUGUUAAGUCAGGCAACGAGCGAGACCCACGCCAACAGUUGCCAGCAUGUCCUCCGGGAUGAUGGGGACACUGUUGGGACCGCCUCUGCUAAAGAGGAGGAAGGAAUGGGCAACGGUAGGUCAGCAUGCCCCGAAUUAUCCGGGCUACACGCGGGCUACAAUGGUCAGGACAAUGGGUAUCGACACCGAGAGGUGGAGGCAAUCUCCUAAACCUGUCCUUAGUUCGGAUUGUGGGCUGCAACUCGCCCACAUGAAGCUGGAAUCCGUAGUAAUCGCGUUUCAAAAUAGCGCGGUGAAUAUGUCCCUGCUCCUU